Long non-coding RNA from Dermacentor silvarum, 304 nucleotides. RefSeq lists it as uncharacterized. The transcript has 3 exons. Lineage: Eukaryota; Metazoa; Arthropoda; Arachnida; Ixodida; Ixodidae. The record is from RefSeq and is a predicted model, not a curated record.
UUUUGCAGUGGAUUUUUUCUCUGCUUCACUGUUAGCAGGCAAAAAAGAAACGGGCCCAUUGUCUUUAUUGUCGAUGUCAUCAAAAGGUUAAUAAGAAUUUGCUUUCCACUUUUCUUCGUCAUCAUGUGCUUCUAUCUGCUUCCACGUGUCGUCAACGGACCAGACGCCAGAGCAGGCUUCCAGAAGAUGUUCGACGAAAUCACCAAUCACUGGUGGCAGUUACUUCUCCAAAUAAGAAACUUUUAUGAAACUACUGUUUCGGACGUGCUCCUCCACACGUGGUACUUGUCGGCGGAUUUCCAGC